RNAcentral lists this ribosomal RNA (606 nucleotides) under uncultured fungus. RNAcentral describes it as "eukaryotic LSU rRNA". The stretch from base 240 to 393 matches the Rfam family "5.8S ribosomal RNA". Lineage: Eukaryota; Fungi. The record is from RNAcentral.
UUGGUCAUUUAGAGGAAGUAAAAGUCGUAACAAGGUUUCCGUAGGUGAACCUGCGGAAGGAUCAUUACCGAGUACCGGGUCCUCUGGGCCCUACUCCCACCCUAUGUGUACCUACCAUAUGUUCGUUGCCUUGGCGGGGUCGAUCCCUGGGCCUCACGGCCCGCUCCGGGGGACCCGCCAGGGGGACACUACCAAACCUCUGUCAACCGUGCCGUCUGAGAAAAACACAAAUAAGUCAAAACUUUCAACAACGGAUCUCUUGGUUCUGGCAUCGAUGAAGAACGCAGCGAAAUGCGAUAAGUAGUGUGAAUUGCAGAAUUCAGUGAAUCAUCGAAUCUUUGAACGCACAUUGCGCCCUUUGGUAUUCCAAAGGGCAUGCCUGUUCGAGCGUCAUUUGUACCCUCAAGCUUUGCUUGGUGUUGGGCGUCUUGUCUCUAGCUUUGCUGGAGACUCGCCUUAAAGUAAUUGGCAGCCGGCCUACUGGUUUCGGAGCGCAGCACAAGUCGCACUCUCUAUCAGCAAAGGUCUAGCAUCCAUUAAGCCUUUUUUCAACUUUUGACCUCGGAUCAGGUAGGGAUACCCGCUGAACUUAAGCAUAUCAAUAAG